ACCCUGCAAAGAUAAGGACGAUAAAGAAAAUUCACAUGUUUGUAUAUUGACUAGUCCUCCCACCCCAAACCACACCAAUAAUUGAACCCUCGGCUGGCUUCAUCCUCUUCAUACUCCCACUUCUUCCAUCAUUUUAUAUUUUCAGUGAAACAAUCAUGUUACAAGCUCUAAACCAAGCGCCUGACUCUAGUAAUAACUCUAAAAACACUGCAACUAGGUGCAAUGCAAUAGACACAGUUUUGCAGGGAGGAUUUAAAACCGGGAAAGUGACAGAAAUAUGCGUGGAAAAUGAGACUGGAAAAACUCAAUUUUUUCUACAAUCACUACUAGCAACUCAACUCCCCCUUCACUGGGAGGACUCUAUGCAUCCUCAAUCUACAUCCACUCACCAGGUCUGCCCCUAUUACAAGGUCGUUGGAGUUAAUGCCUUAUAUUUUGGAUGCACAUCAAAACCCUAGUGAAAACCCCUUGGAUCACAUAGUAAUAAAGGAGGUAAAAUCCCUUCAUCAACUACCCUAGAUCCUUGAUUGGGUAGUGACGAUCAUUGAGAUAUCGCUAAACACUUGUUGCUACACGCGAGUGGUUGUCGUUGACUCAAUAUGUGAUAUUUGUAUGUCACAUUUUCGAAACACGCGUGAAGGGAAUUUUAAAAGAACAUAACUUUUACGGGCAGUGGGUUAUGGGUUAGUGAAAAUUUUCGUCAAGUAUAACAUCGAUCUUAUUGUAGUAAAUGAUGUUGUCGGUUUGUUCCCAUAUGAGGACACAUCCUUAUUGACGUAUAUAAUCUCAUCUGGUAGAAAAUUGAAGCCUUCUCUUGGUGCGACAUGGUCCAAGUACAUAUGGAACAUGCUAUUCGUUUCUAUGACCCUCAACUCAAGCACACGGGAUUGGUCAAGAACCUUUAAUAUCAUAUUCUCUUAAGACCUGAAAGUUGAUGCUUGUAAGUUCACUAUAACGGAGGCAGGGAUCGUAGACUACUAAUUUAUAUCGUACUACGUUGAGAACGAACACCAACCCGGCCUGAAUUUGAAAUGAUGUAAGGUUAAAUGAAAUUAUGUAAGGUUAUUGCGUUAUGUUAUUGCCAUACUGUAAAUGAUGUAAGGUUAAAUUAAAUUAUAUUAUAUCUCAAAGAAUUUAGCUGGAUUCAGUAUCUACUGAAACUGGAUGAGCUAAAGUAACAUGAAUAAAAUUCAAUUGAGAAUAAUUCCGCUAAAGAAUUUAUCAUGUAUGAUAUAAUAUGCGAAUUGCCAAAAAGGUAUCGUAUGGCCUUAGGCAUAACGAACAUAUACCAGUCUGUAUUGUUUAAAGUAAAGAUCAACUAGAUUGAGAUCAAGAAAAAUCCUAUGGUACUUGAAAAGGUAAAUAGGAAUAGUUCUUGAUUCAAGGAAAUGAAGAUAUGCUAAUAUUGAUGCUACACGCAUAAACACUGGCAAAGGAUCAAGCAAGAUCCCUUUGGAGUUAACCAUUGGCAAGGACGGGCUAUGUGCAUCGUGUUUUGAAAUGGCAACAUGGAUUGAAAACCAUGAGUUGUUGCGUGGGAAAUUAAAUAUUAAUUUCUACGUUCUAAGAUAUAGCUGGAAAGUUUUCCACAUAUCUGUGAACUGCUUGGAUAAGUAAAUCCAAACACAGCAUCAUUAGCAACCUAUACAGGUGAAGUAAAGUACUUAUUGCCUAAGAAGCAAUUAAAGGGAGUUGUUUAUGUUAAAGAUUUUUUCACUUAACUUAUGUGGAACACAUGUCUGCUGACUUGAUGGUUCUUCAUUGCAAAAUGCGUAGAACCACUAUUGAAGCAAGAAAGACUAGAUCACAAAAUAAACAUACUCAAAGGAUCUUAUCAUCCUAUCUCAAAAGACAUUCGAUUAAAAGGAUAUUAAGAUUGGCAAAGCAUGAUAACUAAACAUAUGCAACGUACAAGUGAGAAGAAACACUCACAUUAUGGCACUGGAAAUCAAGCAUAGCUUUGAAUUCCAUUAGUUUUUUUAAAGAUGGGCUGGAGGCCCAUGGUUGAAAAACAUUCGGGUUGAACAUUUAUCAUAUAUGAAAUGCAUUUUCAUAUUCCAUUUAAUCUUGGUUUAGUAUUUAAUGAUGAGUCCUUUCAAUUUGACAAUAUAUUCAAGAUAGACUGUCAGGACUGUGACUAAGAAAUGUCUAUCAAGUGAACUUGAAUAUCAAAAUUUGAAAAUGGCCCCUGGUCGGAAGUUUUCUAUAAAGGUGGACGCAUAGAAAACGCUAGACGACUAGAAUUCAAGAUAACUAGUAGAUCUGUUUCUUGAACUAUGUGGACAUGGAAAUGUCUCAAUCAUUUUCAUAAAUACUUACUUGAUAAGAUUAGUAUCGGAUAGACCUGUGAAACUUUACUGUAAGAGAUGAAAAUCUGCCAUAAUUAAUUUCAUUAUAUUAUUAGACACUAAUCCUCAAUACCUGAGUGAUUUGAGAUUACUUGUUUGAGAACUGGUUAUUUUGACGUUGUCAAGCAUCGCACCGUAAAGGAGACUAUAACGGCAACACUCGGGUAAUCACCUAUCAAAUGAAGUCUAACCUCAAGAUCACAAGAUUGAGAUUGUCCUCCCAUAAAUCAUGAUGAGAUGCCAAAAGUUGUACAACGACACUCGGAGAGCUAGAAACUAUAAAAUGCAUGACCGUGCUCGGAUGAAUCAUAGGCUAUGAUUAUCUGUUUAUUUGAUCAUUUGAACUAUGAAACCGAGAAAUAUCUCUGGACAUAAUAAGGAUGACUACUCUUACCUUAUGUUCAUGAGCAAGCAUCAAGCGACAAAGGAAUUAGGAAAUGCACACUUGUCCCUAAGGACAAGUGGGAGACUGAAGGAAAUAAUGCCCUUGGUCCAAGUAUGCAUUCAAUGCUAAGUCUAAUAAAUGCGGUUCAGUAUUAAUUAAUUAUACAAGUUAAUAAUUCAGUGAGAUCAAGUGAACUGUAUGCCUAGCUAGAGGCCGCUUCAGUUCAAGUGGAAUUAAUAAUAUUAAUCCACAGCUAACUCUUGACUGAACCUGUAGGGUCACACAAAUAGUACGUGAACGGAUCAAGUAUUUAAGUGAAUUAAAUACUCCAUUUAUGGAUAUUCGGAAUCGACGGAUCUCGGUUCCAGUGGGAGCUGAAAUCGUCAAAAGGCAAAUUAUGAAUACUCCGGAAACGAUGAUAUUGCCGGAAACGGAAAUAUGGAUCGUAUCGGAAAUAUAAAUAUUAUCCAAGUCGUAGAUGUUGCCGGAAACGGAAACAUGGUACGUAUCGGACAAUAUUAUUGGAAAUGGAAAUAUUGCCGGAAUCGGAAAUAUUGCCGGAAACGGAAAUAUUGUCGGAAUCGGAAAUAUUAUCGGAAUCGGAAAAUAAUUCCGGAAUCGGAAAUAUUAAAUAUUUGUUCGAAACGGAAAUUAAUUCCGAAAUCGAAAAUAUUAAAUAUUGUUCGAAUCGGAAAUGAAUUCCGGAAUCAGAAAAUUAAUCGGAAGUGCGUCGUACGAAAUAAACAUCGGACGAGCUUGCUAGACGCAAGGCCCAGCACGAAGCCAGGCCUGCGCCUAGCAAAGCCCAUGCGCGCAAGGCAGCAAGGCAGCCCGCCAGCACCGCAAGGCCUAGCCAAGCAAAGCGCAAGGCCAGGCCUAGCGAGGCCAGCAGAGCGCGCGCCCUUAGUGGGCUGCGAGCAGUUGCUGGGCCGAGCCCUCUCCGUGCGCGCUCCCAGCGCCCCUCGUGGGAUGUGCGUGCGUGUGUGCGUUGAGUUUGUGCAUGCAUCGAAUCCUUAAGCGAUUAGGAUUAGAUUAAAGAUUAAUUUCCUAAAACUACUAGAGUUAGUUGUUGAAUUAAAUAUUAACUUAAUAGUUUUAAUUGAUAUCUAAUUCUAAUAAUAUUACAUUAAUAGAAUCCUAGUAGGUUUCUAGUUCCGAUAAUCCUACCCUAUAAAUAGGUGAUGGCAUUCACAAUUUAUAAUCAAUCAAUUCAAGUAUUCAUAUAGUUUUAAGGUUAAAACUAAAGUUAAUAAUUUGCCACAAAUUAUAUUCGAAUAACUUAAAACCUUAGGUUGAAUUCUAGU
RNA transcript from Spinacia oleracea (spinach), 4037 nucleotides. It is a transcript of the gene named DNA repair protein rhp57-like, with no coding region annotated. The record is from RefSeq and is a predicted model, not a curated record. NCBI's taxonomy places the organism in Eukaryota, Viridiplantae, Streptophyta, Magnoliopsida, Caryophyllales, Amaranthaceae. The transcript is spliced from 2 exons.